GCCUUGUUUACUUCCACCCAAAAACACAAAAUUUUUCAAGAUUCUCUGUCACAUCGAAUCUUUAGACGUAUGCAUGAAGUAUUAAAUAUAAACGAAAAUAAAAAAUAAUUGCACAAUUUGGUCGAAAUUGACGAGACGAAUCUUUUGAGCCUAGUUAGUCUAUGAUUAGACAAUAAUUAUCACAAACAAACGAAAGUACUACAGUGUCACGAAAUUUUUUCCUUAAGGAACUGAACAAGGCC
This 242-nucleotide long non-coding RNA is filed under the name Sorghum bicolor (sorghum). RNAcentral describes it as "long non-coding RNA (SBIC_LNC009888)". Lineage: Eukaryota; Viridiplantae; Streptophyta; Magnoliopsida; Poales; Poaceae. The record is from RNAcentral.